GCUCUUUGAGCCUGGAGGGUCUGGCUCUCCCAAGAAGACUCCGGCACCCUUCUGUUUCAUUGGCUCCCCAGGCAUGGGGAAUGCCUGCUGAAGAAACUUCCCAGUCCCCAGCUUUGUUUGGACAGGCUGAUUGCAGAAUGUGGUGAGAGGCAUUUCUGGCAUCCGAAGUCUAGUGGGAAGGUCUGCAGAGCCUCUGCCAGCCCCCAGUUGGCCGACUAUGGAAGGGCUUGCUGGAGAUGCCUAGUGGGCUGCUUCCUUUCUUCUGGCUUGGAAGACAUUCAUUGAUGACCAGAACCCUUUACUUGCCCUUUUGCCAUGCUCUGUGGUAGGGUCUGAGAGGUGGGAAAGGAGACCAGCACCUGGGCUGCCUAGGAUCCUGCCUGCAGGAAACAGGAUGGAUAACAAAGCCAUGUACAUGCACACUUUUGGGGAGAGGGAGAACGGAUCCAUCUUUGAAGAGCCGUGUGAUGGAAAGAACCUUUCAAAGCUGAACCUCUGGGAGGAUGGUCCAGGCAGCAAGAAGAAACCAUCAGGGCCCUGCGGCCAUCUUGGAUCCUUGGCUGCCCUCAAAUAUGCAGUGGUCGGGCUCUACUUGCUGGUGUUCCUGAUUCUUGUGGGUGUCUUUAUCU
Gekko japonicus is the source of this 629-nucleotide long non-coding RNA. RefSeq lists it as uncharacterized. The record is from RefSeq and is a predicted model, not a curated record. NCBI's taxonomy places the organism in Eukaryota, Metazoa, Chordata, Lepidosauria, Squamata, Gekkonidae. The transcript has 3 exons.